AACCUGACUUGUGUUUCUGUGUUUUCCAUUUAUAGUGUGCCCAUAAGAAUGAUUAUUACAUUUCAUCUAAAUAUGUGUUCUCUUCAUUAUUAUGAAUAGAACUUGCUAAUUGGUACCCAGAUGUUCUUUUACAAGGAAACACUCGAAGGGCUUGUCUGAACCGGGAGAAAAAUUAUGGGACUGUGUUCUUGUCGCUUUCAUUGGUUAUUUGUAAAAAAUGUGUGCUAUGUAGAUCAUGUGGCUUUCAAGAGCCGAGAGUCAUGCUGAAUCCAAUCAUUUGAAAGAGCAACUCCACACUCUUUCUUAAUGCGCUUUCAACAUGCGUUUUCCAAAGACAGAGCUCUCUCCCUACUUUGGGUUGCAUUGCUUCCAAGCAAAAAAGUGUCCUCACUUUCCUCCAUGGACAACAAUCCUUCACAGCUCCUCCCAUCAGAGUUGAUUGACCGGUGUAUAGGUUUGAAAAUCUGGGUUAUAAUGAAGGGAGACAAGGAGCUUGUCGGUACUCUUAGGGGCUUCGAUGUGUACGUCAACAUGGUCCUCGAGGAUGUCACUGAGUAUGAAAUCGCUGCAGAUAUGCGUAUAUGUUUUGAGCCCUUGCAUCGAUAUGGGCACGGUCUUGCCUAAAGUUUUGGUGAUCUAUCAACUACUAAGCAACCGCCUUAACAAAACAGAAACAAUCAGCCACUCAGAGAGAUUCCUUCCGAUAGUAGACUGAAAAUGCUUAGACGAUGUAUUGAUGAAUCAUCACUGGUCUUGAUUUUGUGGUAAAAAAGUCAUCAUCGCUUAUUAUUUACAAGAAUCUGGUCCUUGUGUCUCACCUCUUGAUAAGUAUAAAGCGCAAGUGGUGUGGCAAUUACGUUACCGGAAAGCUAGAAUUCUGCUUUCGAGUGCCUGAACCUCACUUAAGUGAUGAUGCCUUCCUUUUUGUCUUAAUGCAGUUGGUCCCUGGUGGCUCCCCUGAUCUGGAAUGAGUUGGAUUCAUCCUCUAACCCCAGUGGCAAAUUAUGUAGGUUGGCUAUUUGGGUGGAGUGCUGUUUCUUGUUUUUGCAGUGGCGGCAUUCUUCUGAGUUUUCUAGAGGUUUUCAGACUGUUGAAAGAGUGAGCUCAGAGCUCGUGAGGUGUAAUAUUGCUUGCGGAGCUUGGUUAAGAGUGACCAUAACAAAUUCUUGACUUUGCCGGAAAACUUGGCCACUGGCGGUGGAAGCUUGGGAGAGGAGUCGAUGCUCUGUGACCUUGAGGGGUGUGGAUUUAAUCCUGACGAAUUCCUUAGUCUCUUCGAGGACUGCAUCGGUGACGGUGAUCGUGACAGUUUCUCGACUUUGCCAGAGAGCGCUCUCUUUUCUGAAUUCUGAUAGCGAGUCCUCUGUUUAUGCUGUAUGUACAGUGUAGAGAAUAGAGAAGUCUACUGUUGUACUCGUGUAAUAUCUCAAUGGUAUAUGCAAUGUGCAAGGUGAAAGCCCAAAUUAUACGGGUAACUUACUGUGACAGUACUAUCGUAGUUGGCUGAAUCCUCUGCAUUCACUUGGACUGCCCCUGUCCGAGGUCGUUGAACCAAAAAAUAAGUAAAAUUGUCAAUUUGUAUACAAUGACUUGUGGUCUCACACAAUAAGGUGGAAAGCUUUUCCAACCCUGUUGAAGCAGUAAUAUUGUCAUC
Molecule: RNA transcript, 1654 nt
Organism: Rhodamnia argentea
Lineage: Eukaryota; Viridiplantae; Streptophyta; Magnoliopsida; Myrtales; Myrtaceae
Exons: 4
Source: RefSeq, a predicted model, not a curated record